Sipha flava (yellow sugarcane aphid) is the source of this 1512-nucleotide long non-coding RNA. RefSeq lists it as uncharacterized. NCBI's taxonomy places the organism in Eukaryota, Metazoa, Arthropoda, Insecta, Hemiptera, Aphididae. The record is from RefSeq and is a predicted model, not a curated record. The transcript has 6 exons.
GCGGUACGGACCUCUCGCACGUUCGUGUGUUUCACCAGCGUCCUGCCCUUUUUGGUUGUGUUCAUCGAAGACUGUGCAUCUUUGUCUUGUCAGUGUGCAUGUUACCGCUGGGUAUUGUCACGGCUGGAUGAGUAAAGCUGGGUGGACGUCAUCGUUCUUUUUUGUAUCAUCGCUUUGGUCGUGCUGUCGAAUCCAGUCCAGUUGUAUCCGUCGCGGACAGUCUAAGUUAAAGCCAUCGUCUCAGUGUCAGAGUUUCAUAAGUCCGCGUAUCUAGUCGUAAGGUGGUGACACUAAAGCAUUUAUCUUCAUUGUGUUGUCCACGGUGGCCAUAACCUACAUGGAAAUGUCAUCGGCAUUGACUCGUUUUCUAUCGUUUGGUCCAUAUUCGUGUAUACACGCAAAGUUUGUGAACUCAUCGUCCGUUUACAACCUUUUUUAUAAAACCACGUUUUCGUUCGUUUUUGUGCUGUGUCAGCCUUUUACAGCGAUUGUGAAUAACGUGGUUUAAUGCAUUGUCGUCUUCCAGCACUGUAGAAUUGUGAAAUUCAUCGUGAGCAAGUGUUGACAUACAAGUUUAUGUGUGGGAUGGCGAAUUUCAUCCAGUGCACCAGGGAUGUGAGCAAUACAAAUGAAUUUAAUACAAUAAAGGCACAGCCCCUGCGUGCAUGCAACCACUGAACCACAGUCACGAACGAAGAUACAAGUUUGCAGCGUAGGACGAAAACCACAUUAAAUCACAAUUGAUGCUGAUCAAUAGGGUGAAUAGGGCAUUAUGACACACGCCACUAAGAAUUUCAAGUGCACAUCAAUAUUUCCGGGAUCGAUAACAAAGGACAUUGUGGACCCGAGUGUCGUGCUACCCGAGAUAAUUAACAUCAUUAUGAAGGAAAAAGAUAUUAGCACUAUGAUGGCUAUGACGCAUGAAUUCCGCAUGAACAUGAAAAGACUACCCCAAGCCAUGUGAGCCCGGAUAGACCAGGAGCUAAACCAGAUGUUUGUUUACUGCCUUGAUCUCGGGUAUCGACCGAUGUUCCUGUCCAUGGAGAAGGAACGGAUAAUUUCUUACGAUAGGAUCAUGCGGUUGGUCUUGGAUCGCAUGAAACCAUAUUUUGACCUCGAGCGAAUCGCCAAGACCUUUGACUUUGAGAUCCUUAAGUCUAACUCAUAUCGAGGACCAUGAUGGAUAGCGCCAGCGACCCGACUGAAAGCACGAUAAACCAAACCAUAGAUGGUUUUUUCUCCGGGCACCCGUACAAAUCCGUCGAUCAGUUCAAAGCCACCAACGGUUAUUUUAAUCAAAAAUAGAGAAAUAUUAUACAUGAUAGAGAGAAAUGGCGUGAAGUUGUGAUGGUGGCAAAAACUCUUAUAGAGUAGAUUAAGCCAGAAGAAGAAGAAGCAAUGGCUUACAUUGCAUUUUUGCUUUGUACGUAAACUUGGAUUUUGUGAAACGCAUAAAACUUUGCCGGUUGACUUGGCUGUGACACCACAUUAAUCAGGCCCGUUGGCCUCAAU